ACAGGACUCAGUUCUGACCAAGGAGCUGAGAUGUGAUGGCUGGAGACUCAACACCAUUCUGGACGGGUCCAAUUGCAGGAACCUUCCAUGGCUCCCUGAACAAAACAUCCCUCAUGUCCUGCCUCCAUGCCUUUGUCUUGUGGUCCAGCAGACAGUGACACAUCUGUAGAGG
Homo sapiens (human) is the source of this 172-nucleotide long non-coding RNA. Ensembl annotates it as BCAR3 antisense RNA 1. Its record names the gene BCAR3-AS1. The record is from Ensembl. NCBI's taxonomy places the organism in Eukaryota, Metazoa, Chordata, Mammalia, Primates, Hominidae.